RNAcentral lists this long non-coding RNA (615 nucleotides) under Crocodylus porosus (Australian saltwater crocodile). Its description in RNAcentral is "lncRNA (ENSCPRG00005002807.1)". Lineage: Eukaryota; Metazoa; Chordata; Crocodylia; Crocodylidae. The record is from RNAcentral.
GCACCCGGAGGCAUGGAGAUACUUGUCCAAGGUCAUGCAUGGCGAGUCUGUGAGGGAGCCGAGGGAUUGAAGACGAGCGGGCCGACAGUGGUUUGCAGGAUCCUGAGGACUGAUGAGCAGCUAUCCAGGGGAUCGUUGCUUGCAGGCAGGCGCUGCUACAAAACCUUGCCCCUUGGGAGUGAAGAACAGGUAACAAAUAGCCUGUUUGCCUACUGCUGUGGACAGCUACGGACCCAUACUGCUUGCACUGGGGUAGUUUUAUCCCUGAUUUUUCCUGGGGUGAUUCUCCACCAGAUUCAGGUACAUUAUAUUGAUGUAGGGCUGUUCAUCAUGUGUCUGCUCCUUUGUACAUCUGGGCAUCGGUCUCCUGCUCAUCCUGGAUGUGGCUGGGCAGAGGCCAGGGAUAACCUGAGCACGGUGUGGAUCUCGAAAAUAUUUUGCAUCUUUCUUGCCCUUAGCAGAAUAAAGUCCCCCUGAGCCCCUUCAGUCCCUGUGGCAUGUACAUUUAUUCCCUUGCAUCAAGAUGUUCUUGGGGUUCAAAGCAAUACUUGAUGACUGACUAUCAAUGCUGAGCACUUGCAGGCUUCAGUCGGAUCAGACAGCCAACACGGCAGG